CAAUCAACACCCAAGACAAUGAAUGCUGAGAACCUAGAUGACAAAUAUAGUAGUCAUGCCUUCUCAAUACACCGACACAUUUUUGUAGAAACAUAGAUGACCAAUAUAGUAAAGUGAUUGUUCUUUUACAACAAAAUUAAACCUAUAUUUGAAUUGGUUUGAUAAAUAUUGCAAUAAUAGGGCACUCCUCUUGUCGAUGGUAAAAGGAUAAAUAUUGCAAUCAUCAAUAGCCCACGCCUCCUGUCGAUGCUAAAAGGGAGUAACACAUGACAUGAUCACAUUGUAUUAUGCACAUUGGCCGUGAAAUGCUGCAACAUAUACAUAGAAGCAAGCAACCUCGAGUGUACAAUGUCAAAUGAAUCCUUGUGCCAAAAAAAGAGGUAGUAUAAAGUGAAUGUAGUUGUUAAAAACCUUGAAGAGCAAACUAUUAUACAAAUUGACGUCGGUUCGAGACUUGUCAAGGUUCAUCACUAUAGAAAUACAAGAUGGUUUUGCGAACUAUUGCUACUAGCCAAACAACAAGGCCUACAAUAUUUAUUUGGGAACUUCUACGGUACACUCACAAAGUGAGAUGUACCGGUACUCUCGCUUCAUACUUUUACAAAUUAACG
RNAcentral lists this long non-coding RNA (611 nucleotides) under Medicago truncatula (barrel medic). Its description in RNAcentral is "long non-coding RNA (MTRU_LNC001916)". Lineage: Eukaryota; Viridiplantae; Streptophyta; Magnoliopsida; Fabales; Fabaceae. The record is from RNAcentral.